GAUGAAGAACGCAGCGAAAUGCGAUAAGUAAUGUGAAUUGCAGAAUUCAGUGAAUCAUCGAAUCUUUGAACGCACCUUGCGCCCUUUGGACAUUCCGAAGGGCAUGCCUGUUUGAGUAUCAUGAACACCUCAACUCUCACGGCUUGUCCGUGAUGAGCUUGGCCUUUGGGGGUCUUGCCGGCCUGUGGUCUGCUCCUCUCAAAUGGAUCAGCUUGCCAGUGUUUGGUGGCAUCACAGGUGUGAUAACUAUCUGCGCUUGUGGUUUUCCAUCAGAUAACCUUCAGUGAUAUGGAGGUUCGCUGGAGCUCACAAAUGUCUCUCCUUAGUGAGGACAGCUCUUUGAACGUUUGAUCUCAAAUCAGGUAGGACUACCCGCUGAACUUAAGCAUAUCAAUAAGCGGAGGA
Molecule: unclassified non-coding RNA, 405 nt
Filed under: soil metagenome
Description: partial contains 5.8S ribosomal RNA, internal transcribed spacer 2, and large subunit ribosomal RNA
Rfam family: 5.8S ribosomal RNA (bases 1-121)
Source: RNAcentral